GAAACACGGACCAAGGAGUCUAGCAUGCACGCGAGUCAUUGGGAACGAAUAAACCCAGAGGCGAAAUGAAAGUGAACAGCGUCGCUCGUCGACCGUAGGGAAGAUGGCGGUCGGUACGCCCGUCCGCCCGCAUUCCCGAGGCGUUUCGAGAAAUGCCUCCGUUGCGAUUAUCGAGACGCACUGAGAGCGUGCACGCUGGGACCCGAAAGAUGGUGAACUAUGCCUGGUCAGGUCGAAGUCAGGGGAAACCCUGAUGGAGGACCGUAGCGAUUCUGACGUGCAAAUCGAUCGUCUGAACUGGGUAUAGGGGCGAAAGACUAAUCGAACUAUCUAAUAGCUGGUUCCAUCCGAAGUUU
Molecule: ribosomal RNA, 356 nt
Filed under: Hydromanicus melli
Lineage: Eukaryota; Metazoa; Arthropoda; Insecta; Trichoptera; Hydropsychidae
Description: eukaryotic LSU rRNA
Rfam family: Eukaryotic large subunit ribosomal RNA
Source: RNAcentral